UACGGAGGAUGCAAGCGUUAUCCGGAUUUACUAGGUUUAAAGGGUGCGUAGGCGGGGUAUCAAGUCAGUGGUGAAAUCCUGCAGCUCAACUGUAGAACUGCCAUUGAAACUGAUAUUCUUGAGUAUAGUUGAGGUAGNCGGAAUGUGUUAAGUAGCGGUGAAAUGCAUAGAGAUAACACAGAACACCGAUUGCGAAGGCAGCUUACUAAACUAUUACUGACGCUGAGGUACGAAAGCGUGGGGAGCGAACAGGAUUAGAUACCCUGGUAGUCCACGCCGUAAACGUUGAUCACUAGUUGUUUGCGAUACAUUGUGAGCGACUGAACAAAAGCAUUAAGUGAUCCACCUGGGGAGUACGUUGGCAACGAUGAAACUCAAAGGAAUUGACGGGGGCCCGCACAAGCGGAGGAACAUGUGGUUUAAUUCGAUGAUACGCGAGGAACCUUACCUGGGCUUAAAUGUAAGACGACUAACAGGGAAACUUGUUAUCUUUCGAGCGUCCUACAAGGUGCUGCAUGGUUGUCGUCAGCUCGUGCCGUGAGGUGUCGGGUUAAGUCCCAUAACGAGCGCAACCCUUAUCGUUAGUUGCCAGCGGGUAAUGCCGGGGACUCUAGCGAAACUGCCAUCGUAAGAUGUGAGGAAGGUGGGGAUGACGUCAAAUCGGCACGGCCCUUAUGUCCAGGGCUACACACGUGUUACAAUGGUCGAAACAAAGGGCAGCUACUUGGUGACAAGAUGCUAAUCUCUAAAAUCGAUCUCAGUUCGGAUCGAAGUCUGCAAUUCGACUUCGUGAAGUUGGAUUCGCUAGUAAUCGCGCAUCAGCAAUGGCGCGGUGAUACGUUCCCGGGCAUUGUACACACCGCCCGUCAAGCCAUGGAAGCUGGGGGUACAUGAAGUCUGUAACCGAGAGGAGCG
This 915-nucleotide ribosomal RNA is filed under the name uncultured organism. Its description in RNAcentral is "bacterial SSU rRNA". It matches the Rfam family "Bacterial small subunit ribosomal RNA", at positions 524 to 1454 of the family's 1533-position model. The record is from RNAcentral.